CAGUCGCCGCGGUAAUACGAAGGGUGCAAGCGUUAAUCGGAAUUACUGGGCGUAAAGCGUGCGUAGGCGGUGAGUUAAGUCUGCUGUGAAAUCCCCGGGCUCAACCUGGGAAUGGCAGUGGAUACUGGCUCGCUAGAGUGUGUCAGAGGAUGGUGGAAUUCCCGGUGUAGCGGUGAAAUGCGUAGAGAUCGGGAGGAACAUCAGUGGCGAAGGCGGCCAUCUGGGACAACACUGACGCUGAGGCACGAAAGCGUGGAGAGCAAACAGGAUUAGAUACCCCCGUAGUCCCUGUCUCUUAUAA
Molecule: ribosomal RNA, 301 nt
Filed under: uncultured bacterium
Lineage: Bacteria
Description: partial 16S ribosomal RNA
Rfam family: Bacterial small subunit ribosomal RNA
Source: RNAcentral